GGACAAGUUUCUGGCCAUCACCAGUGCCGUGUUCUACCAGCUCUCUGACGACACCAAGGAGCACAGCGAGGCUGACAGAGCAGAGCUGACCCACUGCAUCCUGCUGCAGGCCCGAAUCUGCCCCGAGGAAACGGUCCUGUUUCUGCAGUCACAGCUGGGCGCUGACAGGGAGGCUGGAUGUGUGGCAGCCCUGGGUCUGCUCGGUGCUCUGGCUCGCUCUGAUGAGCCCAUGAUGACAGAGAAGCUGCCCCAGGUUGUGGAGGCUGCGCAGUGUCUGUGCAGCGACCCCAGGAUCCAGGUGAGGAGGGCCAUUCUGCACUUCAUCAAGGAUGUGCUCAGUGCCAACGCCCGGAGCUGCUCAGCCUGGGAUGUGGUGGGGCACAUCUUCAGUGAGUUCAGCCGCACCACGGGAAGAAGGGCAGCUGGAGACCUUUCUGCCCAGGAAGCCCAGGAAGAAGGAGCUCUCCAAGAGCUCUGUAUGGACAUCCUGGAGUCGCUGGAUGUCUCUGUGAGCGGGAUGACCAAACUCCUGUGGCCACGGCUGCUGCUGUACGUGGUGCCAGCCCAGUACACCGGCAUGCUGAUCCCGGUCUCCCGCUGUGUCCAAGCGUUGGCUGAGAG
This is a long non-coding RNA of Gallus gallus (chicken), 621 nucleotides long. The record is from Ensembl. Lineage: Eukaryota; Metazoa; Chordata; Aves; Galliformes; Phasianidae.